CUAUGCGCCUUGCCAGCCCGCUCAGGUGUGCUAGCCGCCGCGGUAAUACGGAGGGUGCGAGCGUCGUCCGGAAUCACUGGGCGUAAAGGGCGCGUAGGUGGUCAGGUAAGGGUGUGGUGAAAGUCCGGGGCUCAACCCCGGAUCUGCCGUGCCGACUGCUUGACUGGAGCAUUGCAGAGGCAGAUGGAAUUCCGGGUGUAGCGGUGGAAUGCGUAGAGAUCCGGAAGAAGACCGGUGGCGAAGGCGAUCUGCUGGGCAAUGGCUGACACUGAGGCGCGACAGCGUGGGGAGCAAACAGG
RNAcentral lists this ribosomal RNA (299 nucleotides) under uncultured bacterium. Its description in RNAcentral is "partial 16S ribosomal RNA". It matches the Rfam family "Bacterial small subunit ribosomal RNA", at positions 475 to 776 of the family's 1533-position model. The record is from RNAcentral.